GUAGAGUUAGUAUACUAGCUGAAGGUUAGGGUUAGAGCAGUAGUCACGGUAGAGUUAGUAUACUAGCUGAAGGUAAGGGUAGAGUUAGUAUACUAGCUGAAGGUUAGGGUAGAGUUUGUAUACUAGCUGAAGGUAAGGGUAGAGUUAGUAUACUAGCUGAAGGUUAGGGUAGAGUUUGUAUACUAGCUGAAGGUUAGGGUAGAGUUAGUAUACUAGCUGAAGGUUAGGGUUAGAGCAGUAGUCAGGGUAGAGUUAGUAUACUAGCUGAAGGUCAGGGUAGAGUUAGUAUACUAGCUGAAGGUUAGGGUCAGAGCAGUAGUCAGGGUAGAGUUAGUAUACUAGCUGAAGGUAAGGGUAGAGUUAGUAUACUAGCUGAAGGUUAGGGUUAGAGCAGUAGUCAGGGUAGAGUUAGUAUACUAGCUGAAGGCAACAGUUAGAGCAGUAGUCAGGGUAGAGUUAGUAUACUAGCUGAAGGUUAGGGUAGAGUUAGUAUACUAGCUGAAGGUUAGGGUAGAGUUAGUA
This is a non-coding RNA of Oncorhynchus mykiss (rainbow trout), 522 nucleotides long. Lineage: Eukaryota; Metazoa; Chordata; Actinopteri; Salmoniformes; Salmonidae. The record is from RefSeq and is a predicted model, not a curated record.